GCCUGGGUGGCUCAGUUGGUUAAGCAUCUGACUUCGGCUCAGGCCAUGAUCUCACGGUUCGUGGGUUCGAGCCCUGCAUCGGGCU
RNAcentral lists this transfer RNA (85 nucleotides) under Felis catus (domestic cat). It matches the Rfam family "tRNA". Rfam says of the family: Transfer RNA (tRNA) molecules are approximately 80 nucleotides in length. Their secondary structure includes four short double-helical elements and three loops (D, anti-codon, and T loops). Further hydrogen bonds mediate the characteristic L-shaped molecular structure. tRNAs have two regions of fundamental functional importance: the anti-codon, which is responsible for specific mRNA codon recognition, and the 3' end, to which the tRNAs corresponding amino acid is attached (by aminoacyl-tRNA synthetases). tRNAs cope with the degeneracy of the genetic code in two manners: having more than one tRNA (with a specific anti-codon) for a particular amino acid; and 'wobble' base-pairing, i.e. permitting non-standard base-pairing at the 3rd anti-codon position. Lineage: Eukaryota; Metazoa; Chordata; Mammalia; Carnivora; Felidae. The record is from Rfam by way of RNAcentral.